This 253-nucleotide ribosomal RNA is filed under the name uncultured bacterium. RNAcentral describes it as "partial 16S ribosomal RNA". It matches the Rfam family "Bacterial small subunit ribosomal RNA", at positions 524 to 776 of the family's 1533-position model. The record is from RNAcentral.
UACGGAGGGAGCUAGCGUUGUUCGGAAUUACUGGGCGUAAAGCGCACGUAGGCGGCUUUGUAAGUUAGAGGUGAAAGCCCGGGGCUCAACUCCGGAAUUGCCUUUAAGACUGCAUCGCUAGAAUUGUGGAGAGGUAAGUGGAAUUCCGAGUGUAGAGGUGAAAUUCGUAGAUAUUCGGAAGAACACCAGUGGCGAAGGCGACUUACUGGACACAUAUUGACGCUGAGGUGCGAAAGCGUGGGGAGCAAACAGG